GCAGGGGGUGAGGGGGGCUACAAAUUGUUGAGCUAUCAGUGCUGGGCUUGAUGGAUGGUACAGAACGAGGGGCAAGUUGCUGUCCCCCAAGACAGCUCUGGCACCAGGACACAGCCUGAGCUCCUGGUGUCUACUGACUUCCUCCAAGUCCACCCCCACCAACCCCGUUCUCCCCAACUUGCUUUUUGCUGCCUGCUCACAGCCCAUCCGUCAAACCAUGCCCUGAAGCUGACCUUUUGCAGAGAACAGCCAGCCUGAGAGAACCAUUUCUUGCUGAAACACCUCACCAAGGAGUUUUAUUAAUGCUGGCAGGCCCAGCAGUAAACAGUGUGGCACAGCUACCUCACCGUAUCCUCUGCCUGCCUCCUUACCCAUGAGUUUUUUCAGCUUUGAACAAGAAGGAAGAGUGUGACCAGAUUGCUUUAGCAGAAUUCCUGGUUUUCUUGCUCAGUACCAACCCACUUCUGUCCCAGGGCAACAUGGGAAAGGCCAAGAAGAUUCACUUCAUCCCUUUGCAGCCAGCCCUGCCUGAAUCCCAAAAUGGACCCAAGGCUCACACCGUUGGAGGCAGCUAUGUUGCAGCUCUGGGUAGUUUUUCUGAAGGUGACUACCUUUGUCAUGACCCAUGCAUCACUCGAGGCCCCACUCCCUUGUCUGAGCUAACUGUCUGACAUGUGUCAAGUGGACCCUGUCACUGAAGCCAUCAAAUUUCAGUUUUGGAGAAGAUCUCCAAGAGAUUGCUUCAGCCCCUUCUCAAAUCUACCCCCAUCUGCUAUCAACUCCUCUUGAGUCAAAUAUAUAGUUCUUAUUUCAA
Sciurus carolinensis (gray squirrel) is the source of this 814-nucleotide long non-coding RNA. RefSeq lists it as uncharacterized. The transcript has 2 exons. The record is from RefSeq and is a predicted model, not a curated record. NCBI's taxonomy places the organism in Eukaryota, Metazoa, Chordata, Mammalia, Rodentia, Sciuridae.